Molecule: ribosomal RNA, 492 nt
Filed under: uncultured bacterium
Lineage: Bacteria
Description: partial 16S ribosomal RNA
Rfam family: Bacterial small subunit ribosomal RNA
Source: RNAcentral
AGUGAACGCUGGCGGUAGGCCUAACACAUGCAAGUUGAACGGCAGCACAGUAAGAGCUUGCUCUUACGGGUGGCGAGUGGCGGACGGGUGAGGAAUACAUCGGAAUCUACUUUUUCGUGGGGGAUAACGUAGGGAAACUUACGCUAAUACCGCAUACGACCUACGGGUGAAAGCAGGGGAUCUUCGGACCUUGCGCGAUUGAAUGAGCCGAUGACGGAUUAGCUAGUUGGCGGGGUAAAGGCCCACCAAGGCGACGAUCCGUAGCUGGUCUGAGAGGAUGAUCAGCCACACUGGAACUGAGACACGGUCCAGACUCCUACGGGAGGCAGCAGUGGGGAAUAUUGGACAAUGGGCGCAAGCCUGAUCCAGCCAUACCGCGUGGGUGAAGAAGGCCUUCGGGUUGUAAAGCCCUUUUGUUGGGAAGGAAAAGCAGCAGGUUAAUACCCCGCUGUUCUGACGGUACCCAAAGAAUAAGCACCGGCUAACUUCGUG